AAUUAAAUAUAAAAGAUUAAUUUUUAUUUUUUGAUAUUUAAAUUUAUAUUUAGGAAUUUUGAAUUAUAUUAUUUUUAAAAUAUUAAUAAAAAUUAGAUAAAUUAUAUAAAAUAUUAAUUACUUAGUAAUUAAGAUAAAAAGUAAGAUUUAGUUUAUAGUUUAAUAGUAAAGUGAUUGAAAUUUUAAAAUUAGUUAAAAAUAAAAAUUUUUAAAAGUAAAAUUAAUUUUUUGUAUCUUGUGUAUCAGAGUUUAAAAAUUUAAAAUAAUUAUAUAUUAAUUUCUCGAAAAAAUAAGAUCUAAGAAUUUAAUAUUGUUAAUGUAAAAUAAUUAUAAAUAAUAAAUUUUUAGAAAUGAAAUGUUUUCGUUUUUUUUUAUAUCUAGUUUUAAAAGAAAAAUUUUUAAUAUGAUUUAUAUUUUUAUUGUUUAAAAUAAUAUUUAGUUAUGUGAUAAAAUAAAAAUAAUUAAUUUUUAUUAAGAAAAUUAAUUGAUUUAUUGAAAAUUAAGUAUAAUUAGUUAAAAGUAGGGAUAAGCUUAUUUUUAAAAAUUUAAAUAAAAAUUAGAGAUUUAUAAUAAAAUUAUAGUAUUAGAAUUUUAAAUUAAGUUAAAGUUUGUAAUUAAAUUAUUUAUUUAUAAAAUUAAUUUUUUAAUAAUGAUUAAAAAUUUAUUUUAAAAUAAUUUAUAAUAAAAUUAAAAUUAGUUAAAAUGUUAAAAUUAGUAUAAAUUUAAAUAUUUUUUUUAAAAAAAGUAUUUUAAAAUUAAAAUAAUGAAUUCGGCAAAGAUUUUAUUUUUUAAAUAAUUAAUAAUUCAUCUGUUUAACAAAAACAUAGUUUUUUGUUUUAAAUUUAAAAUUUAAUCUGCCCACUGAAAAUUAUUUUUAAAGGGCUGCAGAAAUUUAACUGUACAAAGGUAGCAUAAUAAUUUGUUUCUUAAUUGGAAACUUGAAUGAAUGAUUGGAUGAGAUUUAAGCUUUAUUAUUUUAAAUUUUAUAAUUUAAUUUUUUAAUAAAAAAGUUAAAAUAAAAAAAAAAGACGAGAAGACCCUUUAGAGUUUGAUUUUAUUUUUUAAAUUAUUUAUUCUAUUUAAUAAAAUAAAUUAUAAAAUUUAUUAAAAUUUAAAAUUUAAUUGGGGUGAUUGAUAAAUUGGAGGCAACUUUAUUAAAAAAUUUUAAUUAAUUUUAUUAUAAGAAAUUUUUUUUUAUUAAAAUUAUUUAGUUUUAUGGCAAUUAGAAUAAAUUACCUAAGGGAUAACAGCGUUAUUUUUAAUUUAAGAUCUUAUUAAAUUGAAAGAGUGCGACCUCGAUGUUGGAUUAAGAUAAAUUUUAAAUGGAAAGAUUUAAAUAUUUAGUCUGUUCGACUAUUAAAAUCUUACAUGAUCUGAGUUCAAACCGGUGUGAGCCAGGUUGGUUUCUAUCUUUUUUGGGUUUAAUAAUUUUUAGUACGAAAGGAUUUUAAUUAUUUUAAAAUUUUAAAAA
RNAcentral lists this ribosomal RNA (1471 nucleotides) under Potamyia chinensis. RNAcentral's name for it is "16S ribosomal RNA". The record is from RNAcentral. Lineage: Eukaryota; Metazoa; Arthropoda; Insecta; Trichoptera; Hydropsychidae.